CUACGUGCCAGCAGCCGCGGUAAUACGGGGGGUGCGAGCGUUAAUCGGAAUAACUGGGCGUAAAGGGCACGCAGGCGGUGACUUAAGUGAGAUGUGAAAGCCCCGAGCUUAACUUGGGAAUUGCAUUUCAUACUGGGUCGCUAGAGUACUUUAGGGAGGGGUAGAAUUCCACGUGUAGCGGUGAAAUGCGUAGAGAUGUGGAGGAAUACCGAAGGCGAAGGCAGCCCCUUGGGAAUGUACUGACGCUCAUGUGCGAAAGCGUGGGGAGCAAACAGGAUUAGAUACCCUGGUAGUCCACGCUGUAAACGAUGUCGAUUUGGGGAUUGGGCUUUGAGCUUGGUGCCCGUAGCUAACGUGAUAAAUCGACCGCCUGGGGAGUACGGCCGCAAGGUUAAAACUCAAAUGAAUUGACGGGGGCCCGCACAAGCGGUGGAGCAUGUGGUUUAAUUCGACGCAACGCGAAGAACCUUACCAGGUCUUGACAU
This 485-nucleotide ribosomal RNA is filed under the name uncultured bacterium. Its description in RNAcentral is "bacterial SSU rRNA". It matches the Rfam family "Bacterial small subunit ribosomal RNA", at positions 501 to 987 of the family's 1533-position model. The record is from RNAcentral.